CCUACGGGCGGCAGCAGUGGGGAAUAUUGGACAAUGGGGGCAACCCUGAUCCAGCCAUGCCGCGUGUGUGAAGAAGGCCCUCGGGUUGCAAAGCACUUUCAGUGAGGAAGAACGCCUGGUGGUUAAUACCCAUCAGGAAAGACAUCACUCACAGAAGAAGCACCGGCUAACUCCGUGCCAGCAGCCGCGGUAAUACGGAGGGUGCGAGCGUUAAUCGGAAUUACUGGGCGUAAAGCGCGCGUAGGUGGCUUGAUAAGCCGGUUGUGAAAGCCCCGGGCUCAACCUGGGAACGGCAUCCGGAACUGUCAAGCUAGAGUGCAGGAGAGGAAGGUAGAAUUCCCGGUGUAGCGGUGAAAUGCGUAGAGAUCGGGAGGAAUACCAGUGGCGAAGGCGGCCUUCUGGACUGACACUGACACUGAGGUGCGAAAGCGUGGGUAGCAAACAGGAUUAGAUACCCGGGUAGUC
Molecule: ribosomal RNA, 465 nt
Filed under: Vreelandella stevensii
Lineage: Bacteria; Pseudomonadati; Pseudomonadota; Gammaproteobacteria; Oceanospirillales; Halomonadaceae
Description: partial 16S ribosomal RNA
Rfam family: Bacterial small subunit ribosomal RNA
Source: RNAcentral